GGAUAAGUGACUGAGUGGCUGAAAGUACCGGUCUUGAAAACCGGCGUAUUCGAAAGAGUAUCGGGGGUUCGAAUCCUCCCUUAUCCG
Auxenochlorella protothecoides is the source of this 87-nucleotide transfer RNA. It matches the Rfam family "tRNA". From Rfam's summary of the family: Transfer RNA (tRNA) molecules are approximately 80 nucleotides in length. Their secondary structure includes four short double-helical elements and three loops (D, anti-codon, and T loops). The record is from Rfam. Lineage: Eukaryota; Viridiplantae; Chlorophyta; Trebouxiophyceae; Chlorellales; Chlorellaceae.